Molecule: ribosomal RNA, 460 nt
Filed under: uncultured bacterium
Lineage: Bacteria
Description: partial 16S ribosomal RNA
Rfam family: Bacterial small subunit ribosomal RNA
Source: RNAcentral
CCUACGGGAGGCAGCAGUGAGGAAUAUUGGUCAAUGGACGAGAGUCUGAACCAGCCAAGUAGCGUGAAGGAUGACUGCCCUAUGGGUUGUAAACUUCUUUUAUAAAGGAAUAAAACGAGGCACGUGUGCCUUUUUGCAUGUACUUUAUGAAUAAGGAUCGGCUAACUCCGUGGCAGCAGCCGCGGUAAUACGGAGGAUCCGAGCGUUAUCCGGAUUUAUUGGGUUGAAAGGGAGCGUAGAUGGGUUGUUAAGUCAGUUGUGAAAGUUUGCGGCUCAACCGUAAAAUUGCAAUUGAUACUGGCAGUCUUGAGUACAGUUGAGGUAGGCGGAAUUCGUGGUGUAGCGGUGAAAUGCUUAGAUAUCACGAAGAACCCCGAUUGCGAAGGCAGCUUACUAAACUGUGACUGACAUUGAUGCUCGAAAGUGUGGGUAUCAAACAGGAUUAGAUACCCCUGUAGUC